Molecule: long non-coding RNA, 338 nt
Organism: Ostrinia nubilalis (European corn borer)
Lineage: Eukaryota; Metazoa; Arthropoda; Insecta; Lepidoptera; Crambidae
Exons: 2
Source: RefSeq, a predicted model, not a curated record
GUUAUGUCCUCCAACAUGCCAUCACGCAUUAUCCAAGUACCUAAAUAAGCAUUAAGAUAACGAAAUAAGCAUAUUAAGCAUAUCAUAUUACAAUAACAACCUAAACUGCUGAUGCUGAGUCGGAAUAAUUGAAAUCAACAUCCUGCAGUUCCCGGUAGACGCCUCACGCCACCGGACCGAUAAUCAGCCCUAUAUAAGGAGCCCGUGAUGAUGGUAUGGACACAUUAGAUUUUAGGCUUCCCACUUCGAAGCACCUUAGGCUAGUACCGUUCAAUCGCUGAACACUUAGUUGUAAUUUUGUACUUUAUAACUUCAUUAAAAAUCAUUGAAAGUUUAAA